RNAcentral lists this transfer RNA (69 nucleotides) under Ictidomys tridecemlineatus (thirteen-lined ground squirrel). RNAcentral's name for it is "Spermophilus tridecemlineatus (thirteen-lined ground squirrel) tRNA". It matches the Rfam family "tRNA". From Rfam's summary of the family: Transfer RNA (tRNA) molecules are approximately 80 nucleotides in length. Their secondary structure includes four short double-helical elements and three loops (D, anti-codon, and T loops). Lineage: Eukaryota; Metazoa; Chordata; Mammalia; Rodentia; Sciuridae. The record is from Rfam by way of RNAcentral. RNAcentral also lists the same sequence under 1 other name.
GGGAUUGUGGCUCAGUGGUAGAGUGCUUGCCUAGCAUGUAUGAGGCAUUGAGUUCCAUUCUCAGUACCA